RNAcentral lists this ribosomal RNA (253 nucleotides) under uncultured bacterium. RNAcentral describes it as "partial 16S ribosomal RNA". It matches the Rfam family "Bacterial small subunit ribosomal RNA", at positions 524 to 776 of the family's 1533-position model. The record is from RNAcentral.
UACGUAGGUGGCAAGCGUUGUCCGGAAUUAUUGGGCGUAAAGCGCGCGCAGGCGGCCUCCUAAGUCCGAUGUGAAAGCCCACGGCUCAACCGUGGAGGGUCAUUGGAAACUGGGGGACUUGAGUGCAGGAGAGAAGAGUGGAAUUCCUGGUGUAGCGGUGAAAUGCGCAGAUAUCAGGAAGAACACCUAUGGCGAAGGCAGCUCUCUGGGACGGUACUGACGCUGAGACGCGAAAGCGUGGGGAGCGAACAGG